AUCUUGAACUAGAAGAAAUCAAUUGACUUAUUCUUCUUAUAAUGGGAGGCAUAUAUUGAUAUUGGGAGUUUGCUGAUAGCACCUUUCUUUUUUCCCGGGGGCGUUUCAAUAAUACCUUUCCAUACACAC
Molecule: small nucleolar RNA, 129 nt
Organism: Lycium barbarum (goji berry)
Lineage: Eukaryota; Viridiplantae; Streptophyta; Magnoliopsida; Solanales; Solanaceae
Source: RefSeq, a predicted model, not a curated record